AUGGGGUUGGGGCUGUACUGGGUUUUCUUUGUUGCUCUUUUAAAAGGUGGGCACUGUGAGGUGCAGCUGGUUGAGUCUGGUGGAGGAUUGGUGAAGCCUGCAGAGUCACUGAAACUCUCCUGUGCAGCCUCUGGAUUCACCUACACUGACUCUGCCAUGAGCUGGAUCCGCCAGGCUCCAGGAAAGCGGCUGGAGUUGGUCGCUACCAUAAGAACUAAACCUAAUAAUCAUGCAACCGAUUGUGUGGAUUCGGUGAAAGGCAGAUUCACCAUCUCCAGAGAUGAUUCCCAAAGCAUGGCCUACCUGAAAAUGAACAACCUGAGUACUGAGGACACGGCCAUUUAUUACUACUCACAAAACCUUGAUGUUCUUAUUAAAUAUGUGUGUGUCCCUGAGUUUCCAGACAAACAAGCCUAUUUCAAUUUCAUUUUAGAAUAUUUGGUUUCCCAUGCUGUUUAA
Non-coding RNA from Cricetulus griseus (Chinese hamster), 459 nucleotides. NCBI's taxonomy places the organism in Eukaryota, Metazoa, Chordata, Mammalia, Rodentia, Cricetidae. The record is from the annotation of a RefSeq genome assembly.